Molecule: ribosomal RNA, 253 nt
Filed under: uncultured bacterium
Lineage: Bacteria
Description: partial 16S ribosomal RNA
Rfam family: Bacterial small subunit ribosomal RNA
Source: RNAcentral
UACGGGGGGGGCAAGCGUUGUUCGGAAUUACUGGGCGUAAAGGGCUCGUAGGCGGCCAACUAAGUCAUACGUGAAAUCCCUCGGCUUAACCGGGGAACUGCGUCUGAUACUGGAUGGCUUGAGAUCGGGAGAGGGAUGCGGAAUUCCAGGUGUAGCGGUGAAAUGCGUAGAUAUCUGGAGGAACACCGGUGGCGAAGGCGGCAUCCUGGACCGAUACUGACGCUGAGGAGCGAAAGCCAGGGGAGCAAACGGG